Cucumis sativus (cucumber) is the source of this 1187-nucleotide long non-coding RNA. RefSeq lists it as uncharacterized. The transcript is spliced from 3 exons. NCBI's taxonomy places the organism in Eukaryota, Viridiplantae, Streptophyta, Magnoliopsida, Cucurbitales, Cucurbitaceae. The record is from RefSeq and is a predicted model, not a curated record.
AGGCCAUUGGCUUCUGUUUGGCCUAAUUAUAUGUUUUGGUUAAUUGGGUCUUAAUGUUUUGCAAGAUGAUCAAGAAUGCAUGGAGGAGAGUAAGCCAUGAUGACAUCUUUGCAAGCGUACUAUCUCUGCACGUUGAAGAAAAGAAAAAAUCGGAAAAGAAAGGGGAAAAGAAAAGUAAUUAACUUUUCUUCUUAGUUCUUCUUCUUCUUCGUUUUCUCUCUGUUAUUCAAACCCUAAUGAAAUUUCUUAGGGUUUUUGGCAAGUAAAUUAUGCACAUACACAACAAUGUGAAGAUGAGGGAGAUGAGAAGAGAUGAUACACAGAUUUACGUGGUUCGGCCAAUGAAGCCUACAUCCACAGAAAGUAUCGUUACUUAUUCUUGAAGAUAAGUACACUAGAAUGCUUUACACUCUUCUUUUUCUUGUAGAUGAGAAGCUAAUUUUGUGUGUAGUUUGUUAGAAAACACCUUUACAUAUUUAUAGGUGCUUACAAGACAUGAGCAGUUAAAAAAAAACUGUAAUACUUAUGCUUUUGUUGGAAUUCAUUCUAUUUUAGAAUCUCCAUAUUGAAUCCAACUUGAAAUGAGUUUGAGAUCCUUCCUUCUUACUCUUUACCUUUUGAUCUAUCCUUUUUCUGGUAGGUCGAAACCUAUCAGCUUGAGAUACUUCUGGAGCUUCAUUGUAGAGACUAGUUUGGUGAGCUUAUUGGCGGCGUUCUCAGGGCCAUAAUAUUUUGCAAGAAUGCUUGGAGGAGAGUAAGCCACGAUGACAUCUUUGCAACCGUACACGCGUGAGGAAGAGAUAACUAUCUUUGCACGUUGAAGAAAAGAAAAAAUGAUGCACACACGCAACAAUAUGAAGAUGAGGGAGAUGAGAAGAGAUGAUACACAGAUUUACGUGGUUCAGCCAAUGAAGGCUACAUCUACGAGAAGGAUCGUUUCUUAUUCUUGAAGAUAAGUACACUAGAAUUCUUUACACUCUUCUUUUUCUUGUAGAUGAGAAACUAAUUUUGUGUAGUUUGUUAGAAAACACCUUUACAUAUCAAGACAUGAGUAGUGGAAAAAAAAAAUUGUAACACUUAUGCUUCUGUUGGAAUUCAUUCUAUUUUUCAGGUCUGUCUUUCUUUAUUUUCUCCAAAGGAUAUUGUGUAUGUUAGUCUAAUGGAAGUGGGUAGGUGGUUUUUGGUCA